GAAAUGCGAUAAGUAAUGUGAAUUGCAGAAUUCAGUGAAUCAUCGAAUCUUUGAACGCACAUUGCGCCCGCCAGUAUUCUGGCGGGCAUGCCUGUCCGAGCGUCAUUUCAACCAUCAAGCCCCCGGGCUUGUGUUGGGGACCUGCGGCUGCCCGCAGGCCCUGAAAACCAGUGGCGGGCUCGCUGUCACACCGAGCGUAGUAGCAAUCACCUCGCUCAGGGCGUGCUGCGGGUUCCGGCCGUUAAACAGCCUUACAAAACCCAAGGUUGACCUCGGAUCAGGUAGGAAGACCCGCUGAACUUAGGC
Molecule: unclassified non-coding RNA, 306 nt
Filed under: plant metagenome
Description: partial contains 5.8S ribosomal RNA, internal transcribed spacer 2, and large subunit ribosomal RNA
Rfam family: 5.8S ribosomal RNA (bases 1-105)
Source: RNAcentral